UAGGUACUCCCUCCGUCCGGAAAUACUUGUCAUCAAAAUGAAUAAAAUGGGGUGUAUCUAGAUGUAUUUUAGUUCUAGAUACACCCUUUUUGUCCAUUUUGAUGACAAGUUUUUUCGGACAGAGGGAGUAGGUA
This is a non-coding RNA of Triticum urartu, 134 nucleotides long. The record is from Rfam. NCBI's taxonomy places the organism in Eukaryota, Viridiplantae, Streptophyta, Magnoliopsida, Poales, Poaceae.